This 277-nucleotide ribosomal RNA is filed under the name Agathobacter rectalis. Its description in RNAcentral is "partial 16S ribosomal RNA". It matches the Rfam family "Bacterial small subunit ribosomal RNA", at positions 1 to 258 of the family's 1533-position model. The record is from RNAcentral. Lineage: Bacteria; Bacillati; Bacillota; Clostridia; Lachnospirales; Lachnospiraceae.
UAACAUGAGAGUUUGAUCCUGGCUCAGGAUGAACGCUGGCGGCGUGCUUAACACAUGCAAGUCGAACGAAGCACUUUAUUUGAUUUCCUUCGGGACUGAUUAUUUUGUGACUGAGUGGCGGACGGGUGAGUAACGCGUGGGUAACCUGCCUUGUACAGGGGGAUAACAGUUGGAAACGGCUGCUAAUACCGCAUAAGCGCACGGCAUCGCAUGAUGCAGUGCGAAAAACUCCGGUGGUAUAAGAUGGACCCGCGUUGGAUUAGCUAGUUGGUGAGGU